GCUCUAUUAGUAUCAAACAGUACAAUUGACUUCCAAUCAAUUAGCUCUGGUACAAACCCAGAAUAGAACA
This 70-nucleotide transfer RNA is filed under the name Tolypeutes matacus. Its description in RNAcentral is "tRNA-Gly". It matches the Rfam family "tRNA". From Rfam's summary of the family: Transfer RNA (tRNA) molecules are approximately 80 nucleotides in length. Their secondary structure includes four short double-helical elements and three loops (D, anti-codon, and T loops). Lineage: Eukaryota; Metazoa; Chordata; Mammalia; Cingulata; Chlamyphoridae. The record is from RNAcentral.